Molecule: ribosomal RNA, 253 nt
Filed under: uncultured bacterium
Lineage: Bacteria
Description: partial 16S ribosomal RNA
Rfam family: Bacterial small subunit ribosomal RNA
Source: RNAcentral
UACGGGGGGGGCAAGCGUUGUUCGGAAUUACUGGGCGUAAAGGGCUCGUAGGUGGCCAUGUAAGUCAGACGUGAAAUCCCCAGGCUUAACCUGGGAACUGCGUCUGAUACUGGAUGGCUUGAAUUCGGGAGAGGGAUGCAGAAUUCCAGGUGUAGCGGUGAAAUGCGUAGAUAUCUGGAGGAACACCGGUGGCGAAGGCGGCAUCCUGGACCAAUAUUGACGCUGAGGAGCGAAAGCCAGGGGAGCAAACGGG